AAUGAACGCUGGCGGCGUGCUUAACACAUGCAAGUCGAACGGAAAGGCCUGCUUUCCCUUGUGGAUUGCGGGUACUCGAGUGGCGAACGGGUGAGUAACACGUGAGUGAUCUGCCCCCAACUUGGGUAUAAGCCUGGGAAACUGGGUCUAAUUCCCGAUAGGACUGCAGGGUGGUGCCUGUGGUGGAAAACGAUUUUCUAGUGGUUGGGGAUGAGCUCGCGGCCUAUCAGCUUGUUGGUGGGGUAAUGGCCUACCACGGCGGCGACGGGUAGCCGGCCUGAGAGGGUGGACGGCCACAUUGGGACUGGGAUACGGCCCAGACUCCUACGGGAGGCAGCAGUGGGGAAUAUUGCACAAUGGGCGGAAGCCUGAUGCAGCGACGCCGCGUGGGGGAUGACGGCCUUCGGGUUGUAAACUCCUUUCGACCGCGAGGAAGCCACCUGGUUGGAAGGGUGGUGACGGUAGUGGUAGAAGAAGCACCGGCUAACUACGUG
This 494-nucleotide ribosomal RNA is filed under the name uncultured bacterium. RNAcentral describes it as "partial 16S ribosomal RNA". It matches the Rfam family "Bacterial small subunit ribosomal RNA", at positions 28 to 507 of the family's 1533-position model. The record is from RNAcentral.